RNAcentral lists this unclassified non-coding RNA (392 nucleotides) under Hevea brasiliensis (rubber tree). The record is from RNAcentral. Lineage: Eukaryota; Viridiplantae; Streptophyta; Magnoliopsida; Malpighiales; Euphorbiaceae.
AAUAAUAAUAAUAAUAAUAAAAUAGAACCACAACAUUCACUCUUUUAAUUUCUUUGAUUUUGGAAGCCUUUGCAUCUUGCAGAAAUUCUCUGUUUGCAUUCCAUUUCUUCUAUUUCUUUCCAACUAUAUAUUUCCAUCCCUUUAUCAUAGACAAGUGAGAGAAUUUCUAUCCUACAUUUAAAAUGCACAACGAGAAACAGAAUUCAACAAAGCACACAUGCAAAGCCUCAUCAUUCCCAGCCACACAAAUGUCCAUAUAUGAAUGUAACACAUACAAGGCAUUGGCACAUGCAAAUGUUAAAAUAGUUGCCUUUAGCCAUUACAGUGACAUUAUGAAAUUUCAACAUAAGUAACAUGUAAUGUCAGGAAUACCUGGGGUAGUAACAUCAAGA